This is a long non-coding RNA of Raphanus sativus (radish), 1543 nucleotides long. RefSeq lists it as uncharacterized. NCBI's taxonomy places the organism in Eukaryota, Viridiplantae, Streptophyta, Magnoliopsida, Brassicales, Brassicaceae. The transcript has 4 exons. The record is from RefSeq and is a predicted model, not a curated record.
CCUCUCCAUGACAAAUCAUCACCAGUCACAAAUUCUUUACUGCUUCUUCAAUUUACUAACGACACCAGAUCGACAUCUCUUUACCUUCGCUUUCUCACCCCAUCCUCGCUAUAUAACAGUAGGUUCAAGUCAGAUAUAAUCCUCACAACCUGUCGUUACUUUCAAGACACCAAGUCUCCACGGCCUCUUAUCGCCGUUAAGCCAUUGUUCCUCCGGUGGAGCUAAUUUACAAAUUGCUUCUCUAAUUCAGUAGUUUCUAAACUAAAUCUAACCAACAUCGAAAUAAGGUUUUACAUUACUCUGGUUCAACAAGCCAUACCAUAGGGACGAUCUCUUAUGAUUUCAUUUGGUUUACAGGAUUAGUCAUAAACGAAGGUAUCUCGAAGCCUUCUUCACGGAAACCCCUUCCAAGCACGAAGCCAUCCAGGUUUCUGAUGUUACGCAGUCGUGGUUGAUCUCGCACGGUUCCGUAGAUGUCAAAUUUACGAUUUUACUUCUUUCUGCUUAUAUUUGCAUGUUUGCUUCUCUCCCUCUGACUUCUCAUGGGAUUAGAUUCCUGACACUAGCCAAGCUUUUCCCACAGCACAGCAGGUCACCACCGGCUGACUUAUGUAGCUGACCAACAUCGCCGGUGCAGUUAUCCACGAUUCGUUCCAGUUUGGGUCGGACGCUUUUGAAACGCUUUAAAAAGAAACAACAAAAGGAAAGUGGGUGAGAAGAAGGCACAUACCACCAUGAGACGUACGCGUAGGUGCCUGGCAACUCAACCAAGGGUAGUAUUUUGCUAUACUCGGCUUAUAUUUUGUUACUCUACGUUUUCUUUCAAAAAAUAUGUGUUUCGUUAUGCAUACAUUCAACUGUCGUUGGUCUGAUUCUUUUUCAAUUCAGAGGAAAGAUUUGCUAUGUUUUUCUUUCUUUGGCUUUAUCAAAUCGGACAAGGGACAUACAGUAGCGUGUUCGGUGCAUGAGAGCCUGAAACAUGAAGAAUAGUGGCUUCCAAGAAGGCUAGGUUCGACAAUUUUGAGCCAGAUAGUGUUUGGUCCAUUCACAAGACUGUGUGUGAUCAUCCCAGCAUUAUCAAACUACAAGGUUUGGUUAUUUGAUCUUCGUAAGAGGAAAAUGAGCUAUUUGAGAAACUGACAAAAUUGGAUUUCUGGAAAGCGAUUCGAUGAGACGCAGACAAGAUGCAAAUGCUCAUGUGUGUGAAACUAAAAGUAGAUGUAUGUGCAUGUGCCCGUGCCAUGAAGGGAUUUGUGCAUACAAGUAUUGGGUUUGUUCUUUUGCAAAAUGUCUAACAUAGCGGAGAAGAGAUCAUGGAAAGAGUUGGAUUUCGUGGAUGAUGGUCAAAAGGGUUGUCUAAAGUUGAAAUCAUUUUGGUUGGGGAAAGAAGUUUGUGUUAUGGUCCAAACUGCAAAACUAUUGUAAUUUUUAUGUUAUUCUUACACCCAGAAAAUUUAAAAAGUAGAAAAGAAACAUGAUGAGAAUCUUAUUUUCUUGUAAUUCAAGAAUAAUAAUAUUGGUAAAUAAUAAUUUUCUUUUGUUA